UGGGGUAAUGGCCUACCAAGACUGUGAUCAAUAGCUGAUUUGAGAGGAUGAUCAGCCACAUUGGGACUGAGACACGGCCCAAACUCCUACGGGAGGCAGCAGUGGGGAAUCUUGCACAAUGGAGGAAACUCUGAUGCAGCGAUGCCGCGUGAGUGAAGAAGGCCCUUGGGUUGUAAAGCUCUUUCGUCGGGGAAGAAAAUGACUGUACCCGAAUAAGAAGGUCCGGCUAACUUCGUGCCAGCAGCCGCGGUAAUACGAAGGGACCUAGCGUAGUUCGGAAUUACUGGGCUUAAAGAGUUCGUAGGUGGUUGAAAAAGUUAGUGGUGAAAUCCCAGAGCUUAACUCUGGAACUGCCAUUAAAACUUUUCAGCUAGAGUAUGAUAGAGGAAAGCAGAAUUUCUAGUGUAGAGGUGAAAUUCGUAGAUAUUAGAAAGAAUACCAAUUGCGAAGGCAGCUUUCUGGAUCAUUACUGACACUGAGGAACGAAAGCAUGGGUAGCGAAGAGGAUUAGAUACCCUCGUAGUCCAUGCCGUAAACGAUGUGUGUUAGACGUUGGAAAUUAAUUUUCAGUGUCGCAGCGAAAGCGAUAAACACACCGCCUGGGGAGUACGACCGCAAGGUUAAAACUCAAAUGAAUUGACGGGGACCCGCACAAGUAGUGGAGCAUGUGGUUUAAUUCGAAGAUACGCGCAGAACCUUACCAACACUUGACAUGUUCGUCGCGACUCUAAGAGAUUAGAGUUUUCGGUUCGGCCGGACGAAACACAGGUGCUGCAUGGCUGUCGUCAGCUCGUGUCGUGAGAUGUUGGGUUAAGUCCCGCAACGAGCGCAACCCUCACUUUUAGUUGCCAUCAUUAAGUUGGGCACUCUGAAAGAACUGCCAGUGAUAAGCUGGAGGAAGGUGGGGAUGACGU
This 914-nucleotide ribosomal RNA is filed under the name marine metagenome. RNAcentral's name for it is "bacterial SSU rRNA". It matches the Rfam family "Bacterial small subunit ribosomal RNA", at positions 253 to 1185 of the family's 1533-position model. The record is from RNAcentral.